CAGUCGCCGCGGGAAAACGGAGGGGGCUAGCGUUGUUCGGAAUUACUGGGCGUAAAGCGCACGUAGGCGGCUUGGUAAGUUAGAGGUGAAAGCCCGGAGCUCAACUCCGGAAUUGCCUUUAAGACUGCCGAGCUAGUAGGUGAGAGAGGUAAGUGGAAUUCCGAGUGUAGAGGUGAAAUUCGUAGAUAUUCGGAAGAACACCAGUGGCGAAGGCGGCUUACUGGCUCAUUCUAGACGCUGAGGUGCGAAAGCGUGGGGAGCAAACAGGAUUAGAUACCCCGGUAGUCCCUGUCUCUUAUAC
RNAcentral lists this ribosomal RNA (301 nucleotides) under uncultured bacterium. Its description in RNAcentral is "partial 16S ribosomal RNA". It matches the Rfam family "Bacterial small subunit ribosomal RNA", at positions 509 to 807 of the family's 1533-position model. The record is from RNAcentral.